RNAcentral lists this long non-coding RNA (7343 nucleotides) under Populus trichocarpa (black cottonwood). RNAcentral's name for it is "long non-coding RNA (PTRI_LNC002955)". The record is from RNAcentral. Lineage: Eukaryota; Viridiplantae; Streptophyta; Magnoliopsida; Malpighiales; Salicaceae.
AGAAUCAAACUAUAAGCAAAUUACAGAAUCAGAACGGCCUAGGAGGCGCCAUCACACCUCAUCAAGCAUGCAAACAUCAUACAUAAUGAAUUGAAAAAUCUGUAUCACACUACAGUAAAACAAACUAACCUGGAAAAGUGAAACCAGCUCUGGAACUUGAAAUAUGGAUGAUGCAUACAUCAAUUCCACUGCAAAAGUAAUCGCAGGUCUACACGCAUCAUGAGCGCAUACAUUAUCAACACAUGUUGAGACUUCCAUUGGAGAUGGCUUGAGUUUUCCAGUGUACAAAUAGCUCAAGAAAAUUAGGAAGGCUUCAUAUCCAACAUUUCCAUAAGGUAACAAUUCACUCAUGCAAUAUCUUGUUGGGCAUUGGAAUGGGAGUAGAAGGCAUUGCAAACAUCAUAUCUACACAAAUGGAACUUCUGUGCUCUGCUGCUUUAAAAGGACCUGUAACUCUUCGUAGACAAUUCAAAGAUAAGAAAGAUAGUUUAUGCCAAAUCCUCAUGGAAAACCCACUAGAGCUGUUCCAUUUGGAUUCUAAAUCAGAAGUUGAAAGCAGCAAAAUGUUAUCCUCCCAGGGUCCUACUAACAAAUUGGAGAAAACAGCAUUCUUGUUGAGAUUGGGGUAUGUUGAGAACUCAGAUGAGAUGGCAAGAGCUCUAAAAAUGUUUCGAGGUAGAGGAGAUCAAUUACAAGAGAGGUUUGAUUGCCCGGUACAAGCUGGUUUGGACUGCAAUGUUGUCUCCAGCUUCAUCAAACAAGCUCCCAUGGUGCUAAACCAGACCAAAGAUGUAAUUGAAAAGAAGAUUGAUUGCCUGACAAACUUAGGCUGCUCGGUCAACUCACUGGUGGCAUUCCCAUCAUAUUUAUGCUACGACAUGGAGAGGAUUAAUCUUAGAUUUAGAAUGUAUACUUGGCUGAAGGAAAAGGGUGCAGCAAAACCCAAAUUGUCCUUGAGCACUAUCCUUGCAUGUUCAGACGCACGAUUCAUAAAAUAUUUUGUAGAUGUCCAUCCUGAAGGACCAGCAAUGUGGGAAAGUUUAAGGAACACGUCAGCUUCAAGCUAAGGCUAGUUCAACUUUUAAGUUUGUGUACAGUUUAUUUUUAUUGUUUAGUCAAACUGAUGCCAGUCAUUCAUUCCUACCGAUCUAAUUGCUGAACAUCUUUCUCUUUUCCAUACUUUUUAAUAAUUUUCUUAUAAAUCAUCCAUCUCAUGUUCUCCGUAGCUCACAAUAAGAUGGUUCUUGGUGUAGUUCAACUUGCAGAUUUUAGAUGGCACACAUUAAUGCAUGCACAAGGAUUUCAAUUUGUCUCGCAGCAUAUCUUCUGUGUUUGCAUGUGUGGCCAGCCUGCUAAUCAAAAUGUCUCUUUUUUGAAAAAUUCAUUUAAUUUAUGGAGGUUAUUUGUUGUUUUAAUGUUUUAGGAUUCUGAGGAAUUUCUUCAUUCCAGAUAAUUAUAAUAUGACUUCUUUUCCCUUCCACUUCAUGUUUGCUUCCAACUUUAUUUUCCUUUUAAUUGCUUGUUCACCACAACGCCAAGCAUUUUACUGAUGUCUUAUAGGUUGAAAGAUGAAUUUGUAUUUUCCAUCUGGGAAAUAAUGAUCAUCUAGUUGCAACUCAGAAAAACAAAAAGCUACAGAUUUUCUUGCAAUAACCGAAGUUUCAGUAGUGAUUUUCCAAUUGUCAUCUAUCACAAACAAAAGGACUAUGACCAAUUCAUGAGAUUUAUUCUUUAUUAAAUAUUUUCUUUUCAUCAACCUCUGCUUGACAAGAUUUGUGCCAAAAUAACAGAUGACAAGAAGAACAAAAGGCGGGAAAGCAUUCAAGGCUACAAAUUAUUCCAUAAAUAGAUUCCAGCUAUCAUUUGUAUGAGACUUCAAGUUCUUCAACCUAUGUGACUCUCCAUUGCAGAAUCUGGAUCACAUGUUAUCCUGCAUUUGAUCUCUCAGCUGUGCACAAGUCUCGUCCAGUGAUACAUCAGUCUUAGCAAUCAAAAGCGUCAGACGCCACACCAUCGAAAUGAGGAACAAUCAUGCUCGCAAUCAACACGGAAACCAAAAAUUUCUUCAUUUUUCUUCUCUAAAAAAAUGUAAGCAUUGUGAUCCCCCUUCCCGCAUCCAUUUAUAGAUUUAAUGUUAGACUUGCCCGUUAGUUUGGGUUGGAACUACGAAAGUACCAUCCCCAAGAUCCAUCCUCCAUCAGCUAUCCAUGUUGAAAGCUUUAGCUGACAAAUACCAGGGAGUGAAUCAAGGAUAAGGGUAUCUAUACGUCAUAAGGUUUUGACUACACGUCAUAGCAGAGUGCUCCAGACAAUAUGCAACUGUAUCAGUGCAUGUGGCUGUGUCAGUUCCAUCUUGGCGGUGUAACGUGGGUGUGCGAGCCCUAUCCAUAUUUAAUGUACAAAUGCAAUGUUAAAUCAUAUUCUUCUAUUUUCUCCAUCGAGCACUAUCUCCUCCUCAUAUUUUAUAGGUUAACUAGAUAGGCACCCAUGCAUCAUUUUUUUCUAUAAUUACUUUCUAUAAUUUUAGUUUAUUAUAAAUAAUGCAAUGAUUGUAGAUAAAAAUCUAAAACUUAGGGUAAAUUUAUGAAGCAAUUAUUUCAAGAAAAAAAUUAUUUAUAAUUAAUUUUUAUAGUCUUGAACUCCAGGCUAUAGUUAAUUUUUGUAGCCUUGAACUAUAAGUUUUCUUUCACCCAAUCAAAGAAUCUUAAAAGUUUGCAUUUCCUAGCUUCCAAGAUAAGAAAAUAAAGGGAGCACGGUAUUUCAUAUAUAUAUAUAUAUAUAUAAUUGUUAAUUAUAAGAUAAUAAAUUCGAAAUUUUGUAUGGAAUUACUUGUUACAUGUCAAAUAUGAUUUGUCAUGAUAUAAUCUAAUAAAAUUAUAUAAACAUUUUCAUCGUUAAUUUAAAAGAGAUUGCCAAUAUUUUACAUUCCAUACAGUAAUACGUGUUAGUUAUUUUCAUUAUUUUCUAUUAUUUUAUGAAGAUGUUAGUUUUUUUCCAAAUAAAUGGACUAAAAGAUUAUAAAAAUACACUUAAUUCAACCAUUUCAUUAUAUUAUUGACAGGUUUACAUGCAUUGAUGUUAUCAAUGUUGACCUAAAAAAAAAAAGAAGAAUUCUUUAUUUAAAAUUUACUAUAAAAAAUAACAAUUUUUUAUAGUAAAUUUUAAAUAAAAAAGAAUUCUUCUUUUUUUUUUAAAAAGAAAUCAAGUCAUGCCUAAAUAUAAUAUAUCUGGAAUGUGCCUUGGCUAUCCAUGUGUGGACAUAAGUCCACUGCAGGUUUCCAUUCAAAUCAGAUUGAAUGAUUACCUAUCAAAUUCAGAUAACAUUGCCAUCUCUGAUAGCAACAUGAUGGUAAUUCUCUAUGAAUGGUAUGAAUCUGUGGACACAACUCUCCCAUUGCAGAACUCGAACAUUUACAGUUUAUUUUUCCAAGACAAGGCACGAAGUUGAUAGUUUGAUGAACAAAAGUUCGUUGUAAACAAGACACUCUAUUCACACUUCUACAACAUAAAAAAACUGGGUUUCAGUUUUACAAGUCAUUGGUUAAAUGCAAAGGAAAAAAAAAAUACAUGGCACAGACCAAGACACGUUCUCAUGAUGUAAAAGGAAAAUGAUGUGCAGCUAUACCUAAUUCUCUAGCACAAACCCUGUCCCCUUCAAAGACAGGUCAAAAAGACAAGGGAAUAAAGCAGCUCCUUUUGUAGAAGGAGAAACUGCAAUAACCAGUCAAUGCCUGAUUCCUCUUCUUAUCUUGCUAUGACUGCAUUAGUACAAGAUUCCUGCUUCACUCUAGAAUUAGUGGCAUCCUACUUUCCAGGAAAGUUAUUUACUCAGAAAUCGAAUAUUUUCAAUUCAAUGGAAUAUAUGGAUUCUAAACAAGCAUUCAGUGCUGUAUUAUUAUUGAAGGGCCAAGGUUUUGGAAUCUUUACUGCUUUUAAUGACCGUAUAGGCAAACCAAUGACAGGCCUGUGGUGGAACAACAUGGUUGAAAAGGAAAUGAUGAAGCAAUCGUGUAUUCGAACAGAAGUAUUAAUUUCGGCGGUAAUCCAUCUUAGAGCAGGCAAAGAAGACAUGGCAAUACACAUGAACCGGUGAUCAGAUUUUCACAUCUAAAUAAAUCAGUUGCAAAUUUCUAUAAUUAUUGUUUUUUGCAGUAACUAGAGAAAAUUUCUAUGAGCUUUCGAAAUAAAAGCUUUAGAAGGCUUUAAUAAUACAGGCAUAUGAGCUUACAGAGCUAGUUCGCUCUUCGGUUAAAAUUGUACAGAGAAGCUUAUCAAAAUCUUUAACUAAUAUUAAGGCUUAAAUCAGAGACAAAGUGGCAUGCCCUCAUAGUUUCCUGAGCUUGUUACCAACACCAUCUUUUUGAGAAGAUGAGGAUGACGAGGAAGACAAAACAGAGCGGUUAAUCACAGCCUUGUCCUUGUUAAAUGCCUUUUGAACAUCCUCUUUAAGUUCCAUGAAACGUGUCCUCUUGAUUCUUUGUUCAUCUGGGGUGCCCUUUUCAAGGAAAAACAAAUCAGGGAGGUCAUCCUCCAUGAACUUAUCAAGCACUUCAGAGCAAUUAGGGAAGUAUCGUCGGCCCAUUUCCACUGUCAUUAUGACAAACACAAUUCAUAUGAGAAUAGUUGCAACGACUGUAUAGUUUAAAUUUCUAGACCAUAUGUGAUGUUUACUUUGCUUAAUUGUGAGGACUUCCUGGGGAUUCAAUAGUUUCAGUUAGCUUCAAAAUUUUAGGACUUUUGUGAUAAUAUGUUAUAACAUGUCCUGAGAUUGAUUUUUCAAACAAAAGGAUUUAAAGCUGGCAAGUACCUGUUUUCAUUAGGGCUUCCAUCCUAGAACGAAGUCUUUUGUUCUGCAUAAUUGGUGUCUCAUUCAGGUCAACCUCCCUCAAAUUCCCGCUAGAACCUUUUGAUGCAGCAAGACCAGCAAAUUCUGAUGUUGUUGCAGCAUGUGCAAUGUCCAUUGCUAGCUUUGCUUCAGUAGGGAAGAAUAAUCGUGCAAAUGCCACUGUGAUGUACACCACAACACUUGAUCAUACAUUUGAUUGUAAGUCAUGAUAGAGGACCCAUUUGAAUAUAUCAGGAUCAUAAUUGAACAUUAGGCGCUAAAACCAUAUAUAAAUAGGAUGUCUUCACCUCUGUAAGCAUCAAAUAGUAAUGAGAAAAUGUCUAUUUUCAUCAAGCCUGCUUGGUUGAUCAGGAAACUAAAAAUAGACAGAACAUAAAAUCUCCUAUUUGAACAAUAGCAGACAGAACAAUUAGCAGGACCCAGAACCAAAACGAAGGAACUUAAAGCUCAAAUAAAGCAGCCAGAAGGUCAGUGAUGAUGAUAUCUAGGUAUCUCGACAGAGUAUUGAAAACAUCAUUCCCGCACUUCUCUUUAUGAGCAAGAAAGAGAUUUCAAGAAAAUAACCAAAAAUUUCAGCUUUUGACAUAUUAAUCUUGAAAUUCGUGGGAACCAGGCAAGUUAACUGUAUUCUGGAACAUAAUUUUGAAGAUUAACCCAAGAAAUAAGUAGUCAAUUUUAAAUUCAACGCGAUCCAAAAGCAUAAUCCAGUCCCAUUGAGCAUGCAUUUGAACUGCAUACUGGCUUUAGCAAAAAUACAAGUGAGUUGAAUCCAAAAUUAUCAUGUGCAGGAUAAUAUACCUCUGUUCUCCAGGUAUAACAGCUUCAUGUGCAGAUCAUCAACCAUUGUAUGGGAAGUGAUGGAAGCACUCCCACCCAGUGGAUUCCUUCUCAUUUCCCUCUCUAAAAUAUCGAUGCAUAACCUGUCUUUGUUUGCUUCCUGCCCUUGCUCUGUUUUAGCAUGAUAGUCUUUUGGCCUUGUCAACCUCCGGCAGAUACUAACAGCACUUUGCCCAUCUGAUGUCAAGUCCAAAGCAGAUGCUCCUUUGGCCAGCAACGAAACUAUCACUGAUGGCUCUUUCCGCAUUGCAGCAAUGUGAAGAACUGUGUAACCUCGCGAGUUUCUAAGAUUGACAUUAGCAAGACCAAGGCUAAGCACCUCAGACAUAACCUUGAGAUCACAGUAUGAUGCACAAUAAUGGAGAGCGUUAGCGUCAUCUAAGGAUAUAUCAGACUCAGUCAGGAGAAGUUUCACAAGUUCAACAUCAUCUGAGUCCAAUGCCAUGUGUAUCCUCUUGAUUCUCUUUUCACGUAGGGGGUCCCCAGCCUCUGUGUUGUUUUCAUCAUCAGAAAUAGGUUUGCGGCGGAGCUGUUUAAUUUUGUCUGCAACUUCAUGGGGAAGCUCUUUCUCUAUAGAGAUGUUGUCAAGAUUAGACACUGCUAUUCUAUCAACACAUUGUGCAAUAAGCUGACUUGAUUGACAAUGGAAGGCAACCACAAGGAUUGGGAUCACAUCUUCCGCAAGAGCUUUCCGAACAAAGUUAAGAAGGCGUCUCUGAAAAAACAUGCCGAUUUGGAUCACUAUAAUUUUCUUCUGCUUUUUAUAGAUCCCAAAGGACAGUUUGGGAGAUGAAUAGAAGGGCCCAAAACCUAAUUUUUCUUGUCAAGUUAUUCUCGAUAAUUUCCUCAGCUAAUAAAAUGGCAUUUUGUAUAGUUACUGACUGCCAGAAUACAUGAGGAAAUACUACAACAUAAUAGUAGAGAAAAACAACCAUUCCCAAGUUAUUCAUUAGGCUUGGGCAUUGACAUCCACAGUCCAGCAUAGAAAUCAAAUGAAUUAAUACAUCAGAUCAUGCACGCACUGCUUGAUGCGACCCAUUUGAAAUAUUCACACCUUGGGUGAAGGUGGCAAAACAGGUUGGAUCUCCAAUUCUCAAAGUUGAUUAACUAUAUUAGCAAAAGAUUAGCUAGGGUAGACAAAUACCACACAACUGUCAUGGCCAGUUCAAUUCAACCACAAGAAUCAAACUAUAAGCAAAUUACAGAAUCAGAACGGCCUAGGAGGCGCCAUCACACCUCAUCAAGCAUGCAAACAUCAUACAUAAUGAAUUGAAAAAUCUGUAUCACACUACAGUAAAACAAACUAACCUGGAAAAGUGAAACCAGCUCUGGAACUUGAAAUAUGGAUGAUGCAUACAUCAAUUCCACUGCAAAAGUAAUCGCAGGUCUACACGAAUCAUGAGCGCAUACAUUAUCAACACAUGUUGAGACUUCCAUUGGAGAUGGCUUGAGUUUUCCAGUAUACAAAUAGCUCAAGAAAAUUAGGAAGGCUUCAUAUCCAACAUUUCCAUAAGGUAACAAUUCACUCAUGCAAUACUUUGGUUUUCCAUCCUUCUCCAGAGACCCCUUUUCUCUCCUAAACAACUCAUGGAAAAACUUGCUCCUAGAAGCUAAAAUACAUCGAUGAACACCAACAGCGAUACCCUCAACAACAAUAUCA